UACGAAUUCCGGGUAAACUGCUCAGCUUGAGAUCGGGAGAAGCUAGAGGUACUCCUGGGGUAGAGGUGAAAUUCUGUAAUCCUGGGGGGACCACCAGUGGCGAAGGCGUCUAGCUAGAACGAGUCUGACGGUGAGGGACGAAACCCUGGGGCGCAAACCGGAUUAGAUACCCGGGUAGUCCAGGGCGCAAACGCUGCUUGCUUGAUGUUAGCUGGGCUCCGAGCUCAGCUAGUGUCGGAGAGAAGUUGUUAAGCAAGCUGCCUGGGAAGUACGAUCGCAAGAUUGAAACUUAAAGGAAUUGGCGGGGGAGCACAGCAACGGGAGGAGCGUGCGGUUUAAUUGGAUUCAACGCCGGAAAACUCACCGGAGGCGACGGUUACAUGAAGGCCAGGCUGAUGGCCUUGCCUGAUUUUCCGAGAGGUGGUGCAUGGCCGCCGUCAGUUCGUACCGUAAGGCGUUCUGUUAAGUCAGAUAACGAACGAGACCCUCAUUCUUAAUUGCAACUAAUAACUCCGGUUAUUGGGCACAUUAAGAAGACCGCUGGCGAUAAGUCAGAGGAAGGCGAGGGCAACGGUAGGUCAGUAUGCCCUGAAUCCUCCGGGCUACACGCGCGCUACAAAGGCCAGGACAAUGGGUUUCGACACUGAAAGGUGAAGGUAAUCUCGAAACCUGGUCAUAGUUCGGAUUGAGGGCUGAAACUCGCCCUCAUGAAGCUGGAUUCCGUAGUAAUCGCGGAUCAACAUCCCGCGGUGAAUAUGCCCCUGCUCCUUGCACACACCGCCCGUCAAACCAUGCGAGUUGGGUCUAAGUGAGGAUGUAGUAUUUUGCUGCGUUCAAACUUGGGCUUAGCAAGCGGGGUUAAGUCG
This 866-nucleotide ribosomal RNA is filed under the name uncultured archaeon. Its description in RNAcentral is "bacterial SSU rRNA". It matches the Rfam family "Archaeal small subunit ribosomal RNA", at positions 567 to 1435 of the family's 1478-position model. The record is from RNAcentral.